This 405-nucleotide ribosomal RNA is filed under the name uncultured bacterium. RNAcentral describes it as "partial 16S ribosomal RNA". It matches the Rfam family "Bacterial small subunit ribosomal RNA", at positions 29 to 525 of the family's 1533-position model. The record is from RNAcentral.
AUUGAACGCUGGCGGCAGGCCUAACACAUGCAAGUCGAGCGAGCGGCGGACGGGUGAGUAAUGUCUGGGAAACUGCCUGCUGGAGGGGGAUAACUACUGGAAACGGUAGCUAAUACCGCAUACCAUCAGAUGUGCCCAGAUGGGAUUAGCUAGUAGGUGGGGUAAGGGCUCACCUAGGCGACGAUCCCUAGCUGGUCUGAGAGGAUGACCAGCCAAACUGGAACUGAGACACGGCCCAGAGCCCUAGGGGGGGCAGCAGGGGGGAAUAUGGCACAAUGGGCGCAAGCCUGAUGCAGCCAUGCCGGGUGUAUGAAGAAGGCCGUCGGGUUGUAAAGUACUUUCAGCGGGGAGGCGUUACCCGCAGAAGAAGCACCGGCUAACUCCGUGCCAGCAGCCGCGGUAAAC